Acanthosepion pharaonis is the source of this 90-nucleotide non-coding RNA. The record is from the annotation of a GenBank genome assembly. NCBI's taxonomy places the organism in Eukaryota, Metazoa, Mollusca, Cephalopoda, Sepiida, Sepiidae.
GGUUCCCGUACGAUCACCGAAGUUUAAGCAACGUCGAGCCUGGUCAGUACCUAGAUGGGUGACCGCUUGGGGAAUACCAGGUACUGUAAG